Lolium rigidum is the source of this 6788-nucleotide long non-coding RNA. RefSeq lists it as uncharacterized. Lineage: Eukaryota; Viridiplantae; Streptophyta; Magnoliopsida; Poales; Poaceae. The transcript is spliced from 8 exons. The record is from RefSeq and is a predicted model, not a curated record.
CGCUGCUGCUGACAAUCUAGCCCGAGCUGCUGCCAGCGCCUUUCGGCCACCGGCCACGUCCCCGAGCUGUUGCGUGCCUGUCGAAGAGAAGAUGUGUGCUUUCGCCGGUGGGAGACAAUGACAGUGGAGGAGCUUCGCAGCUCAACAGUGGGCUGCGACCAUGAUUGCACUCUUGCCAUUGCCAACACCAUGCUGUAAGCACCCUUGCCUCGACCUAGCUGCAGGACGACCAAAGGCUGCUCCUGCUGCUCCCUAUCUUCGUCGAGGUUGUUUUGCCACAGGGAGCAAAAAAUGAUUAUAAGCUGUCAUGUUUCGAGUGAAUAAGCAAGACAUCAGGAGGAUAGGCGGAGCUCGAUGGCUAGUGGUGACCACAACUGCUCUCUUGCCAGCGCUGCUGCCACAGCAUGUGCGAUCCUUCUCGGGCCUCCCCACUGCCAGGGCCAAGAACUGAGAGGCGUGCAAAUACUCCCUGCCCUAACCUAGCCGACGGCACAUUGCUGCUGUUACAUCUGAUAAUGAUGAUGCAUGUCACCAUCAAGGUGGUUUUGCCAUUUCUAGUGAGAAAAGGUGAUCAAGGCUGGCCUCCCUGUGCUCCUGCUAGUGCACACAUGUUUGGGGGUUGUUGUUGUUAUUUUCCCUAUCCGUGUCCCCGAUCUGCUGCUGCGGGUACGGCUUCUCGGCCUCAGAUGCGGCCCUAGAUUCCUGCACUAGUCGUCGCAAGCAUCGACCAGCGGUGGGCUAGCAUUCCGGGUGGAUGACACCUCUUGGUGCACUGAGAUUGGCAUCGACUACAAUCCGUCCUAGAUCUGGAAGGGACAUCUUCAAGAUCAUGUGCAUCCCGAGCCUUCGUCUUCUGGCUAAGGAGACUAGUCACUAGCUGAUUUGACACCAGAUUCUGUUGUACCCACUAAACUUCCUCGGGUCCCUAAAUAUGUGAAUUCUUCUCAAGGACCUGUUAGUAAUACAUCAUCAACAUCCUAGCAUGGUGCUGCGAACUCAGCUAUGAGUGUUCCAUAUAUGCUUCUCGUUGCCAAGCUCUUCGAUGGGAUCUCUUAGCUCGGACAAAUCAAGUUUCAACCUAGAUGCUAAGGUUCGGUAUGUGAUGCAUAUUAUACUUGUCCAUGCUUUUUUUCUUUUGUUUCCUAUUGCUCACCUGUGUCAAGUGCACUAACAAUUGCUAUUUCUAGACCAGGAAUUCAAGUUGAACCCAAAUGAUAAGGGUUUCACUCCAUUGACUUCUUCUGUCAGGCCAUGUCGCCUUCUAGCAGCUGAUGCAACUUACUAUUAUCCUAAUAACAUGCAAACUACUCAUGGACCUUGGCAUGGCCACAUGGGGGUGUUUCUAAUAUUUUAAACACAUUUUCCUUAUUUACUUACUAUUUACAUGAAAUGGGUGCAAUACUGAAUUCAAAUAUAUAUGUCUGAAUUAUGACCUAUUUUUUGAGUUUAUUUUUCAAAAGAAUUGGGAAGAGUGGCAGUGGUACCAGGUUGUUGAUUUGGUACUGAGGUUUAGUUACCUGCUAGUCAAGAUGUCGGUGUUGUAAUAAUCCUUAUUGAACAUCCUUUUUAAAUGAUGUGGCCCUUCACUAAUUUCCAAGGUUCCUAAAGCUGAUACACCAUGCUUUCCUAUUGAUGGCAAUUACUUGUUGGAUUUUUUGUGGUCUCGAUUCUCGAACAAUCCAUGAGAUGCAUGUUGUAUUGUAUUGGUUUCUGAAGCUUCUAGGGCUGUUGGGUUUUUUUAAUGUAUACGGGCAAAUGCAUACUUUUGCAAUUUGUCUUGUCAUGCCGAUCCAAUCAGCUUCCAGAUUCUUAGAUUUGGGUAAUGAUAUUCACUCUGAAUUUGCAGCUCUUUUUUGGUAUUCAAUAAUUUUUGUAGGGUCUGAAUUUUGAGCAUGUAUUAGUUUAAGAAUUUCUGGGGGGAAUUGAAAGCUCAGGAAAUAAUAUGGUCCUAUUUUUAACUUUCUUCCAGUACAUGUGCUUCUGGGACCUUCUCUUUUCGAGUUCACUGUUAUUACAUUGAAUUGUUGUGUUGUCUUCUCUUUUCCUUCUCUAAUUGCCAACCAUCUUGGUUAGGUUUCUUCUAGUGGCCUGUAAUUUGAGCUUAUUGGUAGUUUGAGCUUCUAGAUAAUUUGAAGUUAUGGUGAUUGCUUUCUAGAAUGUAAAAGUUUUUUUUUCCUUUCUUCUUCUAAUGUAGCCAAAAUCUCCAAAAGCUUUGUUUCCUGUUACUCUUGCCUUUCUGCAUCAGUUUUGUUGUCGGGUUACAACACUAGAUAUUUUUUUGCUAAUGAAAUCCUCUCUUUUUCAUCAAAACUAAGUGCUUAUAUUAGCUUAUUAUGUAUCCUGUAAACAUCAUUUUUGAUGCCGUGGAGUUUUCUAAGCUAAGAAGGUUCAUCCCUUCCUUGCAGAUUGAUUAGGAAGCUAAGCCUCACAUCUCAUCGAUAACGUAGUGGUUGAAGCAUCUUUGAGCACUCUUAUAUUGUGUUUAAUAAGCUACCCCUUACAAAUAUUCAGUACUCGCCCAGUACUCAAAUAUCAACGCAAUUUUCCUGUUUAACCGUGGUUUUCUGCCUAACAUGUUUUUAUCCUUAUGGCUGGAUGAAAUAAACACACACCGGUGCAAUUAUUUGAUUCUGGUUUCUUGUGCUAUCUGAUUAUUUGCCAUAGUAUAGACGGUACAAAUUCAGAAGCAAAGGUUCUUCCUAUCUUGAUAACAAAGGAGGAGUACAUUGCCCAAAACUUUCUGGAUCCAUUAUGAAAGUUGAAGGACCACUUUGUGCCUGUAAGCCUGCAAAAAUAUGCAGAUGGAGUUGUGCGACCGCAGGGCAGCCUAGAUGGAGUGCCCCUGGAGGACUUUUGCACCUGCGGGGUGGGGUUGUGGUGGCUGCAGCUGCAGGGCUAGUGCGCCGACUUGUAGAUCCUUACGCUAUAGUGGAAGCACUUGUAGAUUCGCACAUGGGUACCACGACAACAUAUCUGGGUGAUGGUCUCAUCACCAAAAAGAGGGCAAAGUCACUAAAGGGAGGAUCUAGCGCUUGAGGUGGACGAGGACAUGCUGCUGCGGAGGGACAUGAUGGUGAGUCGAUGUGCUAAGUGAUUGAUAUCGAUGGGGAAAGCAGAUGGGGAGGAGGCUUGUAGGAGAAGGAGAAUAUAUGUGCAGGGGUUAGGUUUCGGGGCGAGUCUUCAUUGAAUGACCAUGGCGUGAGAGCCGACCAUCUCCACCAUAUGGCACAUCACCCAACACUCCUACAGAACAUUGAGGCCGCGGUCCACUCCGUCAAGCUAUUCUGUACUAGUCGGGGGCAGCGAUCGAGACUAAAUUAAAUACGUGUGCAGACGUGUGCUAGGAAGCUGCAUGGCUUUCUUUAUAAAAAUAGCAUUCAACACAAAAUACAUCUGGGUACCACCGAUCUUGGCGCAUUUGGACGGUCCAGGAAACGGGACCAUCUGUGCUAGGGAUCACUUGUGCUUUUCCGCUGGUUAUAGAGAUAUGAUGUUGGUUAUAUUUUAGAGUCUCCUUUUAUAUAUCUAUAAUGCUGUUGUUUGAAAUCUUCUUGAACAUUGCAAGUACUUGAUACUGAUUCCACUUCUUGUAGGUGAACAUAUCAUCGCAAGCCUAGGAGCAUGCAUGUACUUUGUCGAGAACUUCCCAUGUUCUCAUCACUUCCAUUUCGGUGAACUCUCGAAUAAGGGUACAAGAAGUUGAACAAGGACUACCCCACAGGUGGUUGUCAUCCAGCUGGGCAGUGUCGGUCUCCCCGAGCUCCUUCUGGUGGUUGCCUGCAUGGGCUGUUGCUGGUGACUACUGUCUCGCUACCAUGCAAUGACGGAAAGUUCACCGUGGUGCAACUGCGGCAGAGGCGGUUUCUUCAUCGAGGCCGUGAUUUAGCAUGUAGCUGAUGCGCAAUAUCACUGAUGGAGCGGCCUCCAAGCCAGCGGUCCUCCCAGAAGCGCGCCGUUAGCCCAUUGCCAAUGGUCAUCAUGGUAGAGGCAAAUAAGAUUGCACGUUCUUACACGGGAGAAUUGGAGCUCCAGGUUGCUCCAGGCACCUGUGUCAGUGUGGCUCAGCCAGUGCAGUGCCAGACCUUCACAGCCUAGACUAUGCACUCCAAGGCCACCUGGAGCAAUUUCCCUGCAUACACGCCUCCAAUUGACAUGGUGGUUUCCUCCCUUUGCAUCUGCCCUGCCUUCCCAGAAGAACCCUCCUUCGAUUUUUUUUGAAUUGUUUGAUGCUCUUCUUUGGCGGUGCGAGGACCAGCAGCUGAUGCACAGGGAUGUCAUUGAGCACGGACUUGAUGAGUACGAGGCAGCCAGGCUUAUUCAUCAGACGAGCCUUACAGGUUGGUAGCUUUCCUCGCAUCUUCUCGGCCACUGGCUGUAGCUGGGCAGUGGUCAGCCUCCUAAGUGGGAGAGGGAUGCCCAGGUAGACGAUGGGAAACUCGACGAUUGGGGAGCCAAGGUCCACCAAAACCUUCAUGGCAUCCAUGUCGCUGUAGUUCAUCAGUGUAGUUGUGCUUUUCGUUUAAUUGACAUGCAUCCCUAAUGCUUGGCCAAACAAUUGCAGUAUCUUCUUCACCGUCAUGAUGUUGUUGCACUAUUUCAACUUAUUUAUAUCAUUGCUAGAUCAAUUAGGUAUUGUUGUUGCUUAUCCAUGUUGUUUGUUUUGAUUAAAUGACUUAUUGUCUCAAGUAUCUCGUGAAUAGUUUGGCUCCUUUAAGGGGUAUGUUUCUUGACUUUGUCGAAUGGAUGAACCUACUAAUUACUUUGGCAAAUGGCAGCUACAAGAAAGCAAUAAUGAUGACAACUGUUGAAGCAAUCUUGCCGGUAUGUUUAUAUUUCCCAUCUCAUAAUUAUUUUUGUACUCCGUAUAUUUUUGUGCUUGAAAACCGAAGUUACCUAUCUUCUUGUGGGUGUAGUACUACCGAAGGAUACUUAUCUUCCGUGCUGGUGUUCUUCGGAUAAGAUGAAACAAGUCUUUAUUUGUUUGGUGAUUAAUGUGGAUACAUGUAUUGUCCUUUUUGCAGAAAUAUUUCAUGGUUCCUAUGAUGUCACGCCUAGCUCUUUCUGGUUUUGUUUUUCUGCAAUUCUUAUAUAUGUAAUAAUAUACUUAUGAGAUUACUUGCAAAGGUUAAAUUAUCCCAUGGCUUGGUAGAGGAAUAAAAUCCCGUGUUUAUUUUCCUGAUUUUGUUCUCCUGUUUGGUAGUGGUAAAUAGACAGUUGGUGAUUAAAAAGUAGUUGUGGUUACAUUUUAUAUAAAAUAGGUUCAUAUCACUGGAAUAUAUGCAUGUAAUGUAAACAUUGCUGCUGAUUGGCAUGUUGCUUUGUCGGUUGUCCAUUUUUCAUCCAACUUGGAACUUGCAUACAGUAUGUAGGUAAUGUUGUCUGUUACAUGGAUGUUUUAUUCAUCACUUGUUAACCUGAACCUGCAUACAAUAGUUAGGUACAAUAAGGUUCAUUAAUCAACACCACAAUGUAUAAAUACAUAUAUAGAUGAGUGAAUACUAUCAGUAGUAGAUGAUAGGUGCGUUCAGGUUGCAGAUUCAGCUGGUGUUGUUGGUGGCAUGUGCUUUCUGGUACAUGUAGUGUCCUAUUGUUAUUUGAUUCAUGCUAGUCCUAGUGAAGCUCUUCUUUUUCAACUUCUUGGCAUUUUUCUUUGUGCUAAAUUUAUAGUUUCUCAGAUUCAAAUUGUUAUUGUGUUAUUUUGUUUAACAGUUCCUUUUUGUUCUGCGAGUUUAUAUUUGUUUUUGAAACAAUUACUCUUUGAACUUUAUGUGAUUAAUUGCCAUGCAUCCUGAUUCAGAUAGCCUAUGGAAUCUCCCAGGUUUCCUCCGUGGUUCCUGAUGGUGUCAACGAUUGUGACUGGUUUCAACCAUGGCCUCUCGUAAUACAGUCGUAGGCCAUAGUUGGAAGUUGAAGGAGCACUUUGUGCAUUUUAGCCUGCAAAUAUGCAGUUCUAAAGAGUGAACCUCAAUUUCAUGUUCUCUCUCCAGAGUGAUAUUAUUGCAGCCCACAGAAGAUGUUUUUAUUGAAGUUUUUUUUGUUCACAGCUUUGCGGAGAUCUUUCAUUCCGCUCUACAAACACUUGCGUUCUAAUUAUUGACAUCUCAUAGUAGAAACUAUCUGAUGCAGAUAUUAAACUUGGUUGUAAUUUCUCGUCGAUUAAUUUUAUUUCUGUUUAUCCCAGGAAAUUGUAAGAGGAAUAUUUUAACCUCGUCUAGACUGAUAUUCUGCAGAAUCCUGAUUGAGUUCUGGUUAACAUCUAUGCUUGGCAGCAAUCUCAAUUAGAUAAAUAAUCAGAACUUGAGAUGGUACAUACUACUUUGGCAGGCCACUAACAAAAGAGAGUUGCAAGACAUGUACUCAAGAGAACUGGGAAAUUCAUAAUAUCUGGCAUUUAGGUGAUAGAUGUACAGGCAGCAUGUUGCCGUGGCCCUUGCUCUUGAAGGAAGGAGUGGAGCUGGAGAUUCGGCCGGCCGGACGUGCUUCCUUUGUCAAUUUCAUUGACUGAUCCAGUGGCAUGUUCACUGCCUGUUAGGUAGUAAUGAGUAGGUGGAGUAUUGUUUGGGCAGAAGCAUCUACGUGGAUGGAAUGUCCUUUAUUUAUAAUACUAUGCAAUAUAAUGUUGGUACCAGAAAUUUCUUCGGCUGAUCAUAUUCAACCUGAUGGAAGAGUGAGAGAUCCAUAUGGGUUCUUUUUAUGCCAAAACUGAUAGAAUUAACAUUUCACAUUGAUGAGAGAUGCAUGUAGUGCUUGUUUUCUUUCUGUCUUCCCGGCUGUAUUACUGUAUAAAC